RNAcentral lists this long non-coding RNA (359 nucleotides) under Vigna radiata. Its description in RNAcentral is "long non-coding RNA (VRAD_LNC016361)". The record is from RNAcentral. Lineage: Eukaryota; Viridiplantae; Streptophyta; Magnoliopsida; Fabales; Fabaceae.
UCCCNGUAUCAAUAAAGACAAACAUCAGUUAUCGAAUGAGUUAAACGAUAAAGGCAUUAAGCACAGAUGAGAACCCAACAAUUAAUAAUCAAAACAUAUGGAAACCAAAUAAAUAAUCAAAAGUUUCAAUAAAAGAGAGUAUCAAAAGAUUACAUUGUUUCCCCCAACAACAAUAGGGUUUAGUUCACCAUUUUCAUGGUGAAACUAGAUGAAAAAUGGAAGAAGAAUGGAAAAGAAAACCCUAGAAAAGAUGAAAAGGAGCCUAAGCAUCCAAGAGAUCCUCUCUAGAGAGCAAAAUUAGGUCUGGUCGUCCUCCCUUGUCAAAAGAACAACUCUGAAUUCGAAAUAGGGGUAUUUAU